UGCUUAUUUUUGCUUACUUUUAUUAUUCACUUUUAUUUUCAUACGUGCAAUGGUAAACAGACACUCAGAAAUAUACCGAAACUACGUCACAAAUUUCAAAAUAUGCCGAAAAUAUACUGACGUAUUAUUUGUAUUCAAGCUGAAUCAAAUUGCUUUCGGUCACUUCCUUUUCAUCAGCGAGCGAGACCGGUCGUGUUUUUUCUUAACAGUCUGAAAAGUGAUUUUUUCCAAGCAACAAAGGCUUAAUUAAAAGUGAUUGUACAAAUUGGAUCAUUGUUUAUUUCAUAGAAAUCUUCAUCAAUAUAUAAAUUAUUCCUCUUUUCAUUUCCCAAAGGAGAGUAUCUGAUCAAUGUGGCUACAGUGCUACGAUCAAAGUUCCGAUCAUCCUUGAGAUGAUUUAACACCAAAAAAAAAAAAAAAAAAAAAAAAAAUUGCUUUCGGUUGAAUACUAGCUAGCAACGACUAUCAGCACUGAACACAUAUUUUUAACCGAUAAUCUAAUCAAUUUUAUAUAAAAGUGGCUAAUUUUAAGUACCAUCUUUAUUGGCAUUGUUUAUAAAAUAAGGUUUCAAUAAAAAAUGUCAACAAUU
Molecule: long non-coding RNA, 590 nt
Organism: Drosophila miranda
Lineage: Eukaryota; Metazoa; Arthropoda; Insecta; Diptera; Drosophilidae
Exons: 2
Source: RefSeq, a predicted model, not a curated record